This 394-nucleotide ribosomal RNA is filed under the name Pseudoalteromonas sp. RNAcentral describes it as "bacterial SSU rRNA". It matches the Rfam family "Bacterial small subunit ribosomal RNA", at positions 613 to 1007 of the family's 1533-position model. The record is from RNAcentral. Lineage: Bacteria; Pseudomonadati; Pseudomonadota; Gammaproteobacteria; Alteromonadales; Pseudoalteromonadaceae.
CCUGGGAACUGCAUUUCGAACUGGCAAACUAGAGUGUGAUAGAGGGUGGUAGAAUUUCAGGUGUAGCGGUGAAAUGCGUAGAGAUCUGAAGGAAUACCGAUGGCGAAGGCAGCCACCUGGGUCAACACUGACGCUCAUGUACGAAAGCGUGGGGAGCAAACGGGAUUAGAUACCCCGGUAGUCCACGCCGUAAACGAUGUCUACUAGAAGCUCGGAACCUCGGUUCUGUUUUUCAAAGCUAACGCAUUAAGUAGACCGCCUGGGGAGUACGGCCGCAAGGUUAAAACUCAAAUGAAUUGACGGGGGCCCGCACAAGCGGUGGAGCAUGUGGUUUAAUUCGAUGCAACGCGAAGAACCUUACCUACACUUGACAUACAGAGAACUUACUAGAGAU